This 484-nucleotide ribosomal RNA is filed under the name uncultured bacterium. RNAcentral describes it as "partial 16S ribosomal RNA". It matches the Rfam family "Bacterial small subunit ribosomal RNA", at positions 28 to 507 of the family's 1533-position model. The record is from RNAcentral.
AUUGAACGCUGGCGGCAUGCUUUACACAUGCAAGUCGAACGGCAGCGCGGGCUUCGGCCUGGCGGCGAGUGGCGGACGGGUGAGUAAUGCAUCGGAACGUGCCCAGUAGUGGGGGAUAGCCCGGCGAAAGCCGGAUUAAUACCGCAUACGACCUGAGGGUGAAAGCGGGGGACCGAAAGGCCUCGCGCUAUUGGAGCGGCCGAUGUCGGAUUAGCUAGUUGGUGGGGUAAAGGCUUACCAAGGCGACGAUCCGUAGCUGGUCUGAGAGGACGACCAGCCACACUGGGACUGAGACACGGCCCAGACUCCUACGGGAGGCAGCAGUGGGGAAUUUUGGACAAUGGGGGCAACCCUGAUCCAGCCAUGCCGCGUGCGGGAAGAAGGCCUUCGGGUUGUAAACCGCUUUUGUUCGGGAAGAAAGCCUCUGGGCUAAUACCCCGGGGGGAUGACGGUACCGGAAGAAUAAGCACCGGCUAACUACGUG